CUAACACAUGCAAGUCGAACGGAAACAGGGAGGUGCAUGCACCCUGAUGAGAGUGCCGCAUGAGUUACACAAUGCGCUAUAUCACCCUAUCCGGUUGGGUAGGAUAGACCAAGUCAGAGUGGAUAAAUACUGAGGAAAAAGCACCAGGGGGUGAUCUUGUUGAAUAACUUUACACGGCGUAGGAAUAGCUGUGCUCUGGUGACUAAUUGGGCAAGGAACCGGUCAACAUAGGCAAUAUCAGUUAGGGUCUGAAAAGGUGAAUCCCCCACACGGAUCUGGAAAAAGGGACAAAAUUUAAGGGAGGGAACAGGGAAGAAUUAUGGGACAUGGGGGACAGGGUUAAUCAGUCAUGCCGCUUGAAGAUAAAUGCCCAUACGUUUUGUACACCGGUUAAUGGGAA
This 400-nucleotide ribosomal RNA is filed under the name uncultured bacterium. RNAcentral describes it as "partial 16S ribosomal RNA". The record is from RNAcentral.